Molecule: long non-coding RNA, 643 nt
Filed under: Malus domestica (apple)
Lineage: Eukaryota; Viridiplantae; Streptophyta; Magnoliopsida; Rosales; Rosaceae
Description: long non-coding RNA (MDOM_LNC001366)
Source: RNAcentral
GAGUGGGAGGCGGCGGGCUUUCAUAAACAAUUGGUGGUGGUGGAGAACUGUAGUGAACCGGUGGCGAAAGAUGGUGAACUGGUGGGGGUGAUGGAUGAGGUGGCGGGGUUUCACAUGGAAUUGGGGGUGAUGGGGAUGGUGGUGGUGGGGAAUUGUAGUGAACAGGUGUUGGCGGUGGUGGUGAUUGGUAUUGGACUACAGGGGGAGGCGGUGAAGGGGAUGGUGGGGGAGGGGACUGGUACACUGGUGGAGGUGGAGAAGAAUAGACAGGAGGUGGUGGUGGGGGUGAGGGUGAAGGUGGCGGCAAGUAAACAAUGGGAGGAGGUGGCGGGGGAGGUGAGUAUUCAAUACAUGGUGGUGGUGGGGAAGGUGGAGGGGGUGGUUCUAUACAAAGUGGUGCUGGUGGUGGUGGUGAGAGGACCGGGGGAGGUGGGGAAUGUCCAGGAGGUGGCGGUGAUGGAUAGACAUAUAUUGGUGGUGGCGGUGAAUGCGGUGUGGCGGUGAAUGCGGUGAAUGCGGAGGUGGAGGCAGUGUGGAGGUGGGGUGAUAGUACAUGUAAGGAGAAGGUGGAGGUGGAGAGCUCAAUGGAACCGGUGGUGGGGGUGAAUUGGUGGCGGAGGUGAGGGGGCCGCACGCAAUAGGG